This is a ribosomal RNA of Erinaceus europaeus (western European hedgehog), 125 nucleotides long. NCBI's taxonomy places the organism in Eukaryota, Metazoa, Chordata, Mammalia, Eulipotyphla, Erinaceidae. The record is from Ensembl.
GUCUACAGCCAAACCACACUGAACACACCUGAUCUCGUCUGAUCUCGGAAGUUAAGCAGGGUCGGGCCUGGUUAGUACUUGGAUAAGAGGAAUCCUCAGGGAAGAUUAACAGAGGGAUGUCAACA